RNAcentral lists this non-coding RNA (28 nucleotides) under Homo sapiens (human). The record is from RNAcentral. Lineage: Eukaryota; Metazoa; Chordata; Mammalia; Primates; Hominidae.
UGCAGAUAUAAUUAAGAUGAGGUCCUUC